RNAcentral lists this ribosomal RNA (335 nucleotides) under uncultured bacterium. RNAcentral's name for it is "bacterial SSU rRNA". It matches the Rfam family "Bacterial small subunit ribosomal RNA", at positions 180 to 507 of the family's 1533-position model. The record is from RNAcentral.
GCUAUUGGUUUUUAAGUUUAAAAGAUGGUUCUUGCUAUCACUAAGAGAUGGUCCCGCGUGUAUUAGUUAGUUGGUGAGGUAAUGGCUCACCAAGACAAUGAUACAUAGCCGAGUUGAGAGACUGACCGGCCACAAUGGGACUGAGACACGGCCCAUACUCCGUACGGGAGGCAGCAGUAGGGAUCUUCCACAUGGACGAAAGUCUGAUGGAGCAACGCCGCGUGUGUGAUGAAGGGUUUCGGCUCGUAAAACACUGUUGUAAGAGAAGAAUGACAUUGAGAGUAACUGUUCAAUGUGUGACGGUAUCUUACCAGAAAGGAACGGCUAAAUACGUG